Molecule: long non-coding RNA, 884 nt
Organism: Antechinus flavipes (yellow-footed antechinus)
Lineage: Eukaryota; Metazoa; Chordata; Mammalia; Dasyuromorphia; Dasyuridae
Exons: 3
Source: RefSeq, a predicted model, not a curated record
GUCCUGCUUCGAGAACUCUUCCGUAACCGAAACCGGAAGCGGGUCUCGGUGUUUGUGUUUGCUCUUAAGGGUGGGUCGAAGAAAAGUGACUGCCAGCAACAAAGUUGGAAAGGCCCAUAACUGCUGCCAACUUCUUCAAAUACAAGAAAGGAAGAACUAUUUCUAUAGCAGAACAUCACCCAAUGAAAGGAGAGUCCUAUUCCCCUAACUUCAUGUUACUAGUCCUGUGGCAGAACCAUUAAACAGGAAGAAAUCAAGAGAAAGGAAAGAAGUAUUUCUAUAGUACUACAUUUUUAAAAUAUCUUAUUUUUCAUUUGGUUCUCAGAAUACACCUCUCUAUAUUACAAAAGAAAAAAUAAUGUUUAAAAAAUAUGUAAUCCAAAAAGAAAAGGUAUCUGAAGAAGAAAAGAAGCUUUAUCUACAUCAAAAAGUUGGGAAAAUGGAAUAAUUUCACAAGAGAAGUGAAAGAAGGGCACCUGAACACCAGAACUGAAAAACCCAAUAAAGAUAUCUCAUGAAGACACUUGAAAAGGAUCCACACUGUGAACAGAAGGCAGCCACCUCUCCCAAGUAACGAUAAUGUGGAGCCAUAGGUGCUAUCAGCUAAGAGAUCUAGUAAAUAUCAGAGGAAGAAGAAAUAAAUUGUAUGGGUAAUUUCCUGCUGACAGAGAAUAAAGCCAUGCUAUUUGUUGACCUGAUAACAAUGAAGAAGAAGGCAAUCAUCUUCCUCAAGGACUUGUCACAGCCAAUAAUACCCACUUCAAGUAAUUGACUUGAACAUAAAUGCUGCUACAAGGAGAGGGGGCAAGCCAUCCUCAUCAUUAGGUAUAAGGUUGAUAUCUUUCCUAACACAUUUAUCAAUACCACACAGCAACCUAUAAUCU